UAACCGUAGGUGAACCUGCGGUUGGAUCAUUAAUAAAUCGGUGUUAACCACCGUUAAACAUCUUGUGAACUUGUAUUUGUUCUUGGUGGUCGGCUUCUGGCUCUAAGCCAUGUCAUCACGACAUGGGCCACCAGUUGGCUAGUCGGUUUUCCGGCUAGCCUUGAACCAACCUAUGCUUUUCUAUUAUGGUCUUAACGUUCCUGUCUAUGGCAGGAUUGUAUCCAAAUUGAAAACAACUUUUGGCAACGGAUCUCUUGGCUCUCGCAUCGAUGAAGAACGCAGC
Molecule: unclassified non-coding RNA, 283 nt
Filed under: uncultured fungus
Lineage: Eukaryota; Fungi
Description: sequence contains ITS1, 5.8S rRNA gene
Rfam family: 5.8S ribosomal RNA (bases 235-283)
Source: RNAcentral